ACCCCUGUGAGAAUGCCCCACAGUUCCCUGCCCGGGAACAAGGAGCCGGUAUCAGGCACACUUAAUUUAAGCCCACGACACCUUGCUUAGCCACACCCUCAAGGGAAUUCAGCAGUGAUAGACAUUAAGCCAUAAGUGAAAACUUGACUUAGUCAAAGCUAAGAGGGUCGGUAAAACUCGUGCCAGCCACCGCGGUUAUACGAGAGACCCAAGUUGUUAGACACCGGCGUAAAGAGUGGUUAAGAUAAAUCAGACACUAAAGUCAAAUACCUUCAGAGCUGUUAUACGCACCCGAAGGCAAGAAGCCCAAUCACGAAAGUGACUUUAUACCAUCUGAACCCACGAAAGCUAGGGUACAAACUGGGAUUAGAUACCCCACUAUGCCUAGCCCUAAACAUUGACAGUAAGCUACACCUGCUGUCCGCCUGGGAACUACGAGCACCAGCUUGAAACCCAAAGGACUUGGCGGUGCUUUAGAUCCACCUAGAGGAGCCUGUUCUAGAACCGAUAAUCCCCGUUCAACCUCACCCUUCCUUGUUCUCCCCGCCUAUAUACCACCGUCGUCAGCUUACCCUGUGAAGGCCUUAUAGUAAGCAUAAUUGGCACAGCCCAAAACGUCAGGUCGAGGUGUAGCGUAUGGAAGGGGAAGAAAUGGGCUACAUUCCCUAACACAGGGAAUACGGACGAUGCACUGAAACGUGCAUCCAAAGGAGGAUUUAGCAGUAAGCAGAAAAUAGAGUGUUCCGCUGAAAUCGGCCCUGAAGCGCGCACACACCGCCCGUCACUCUCCCCGAGCUUAAGUACUCAACUUAACUAAAACCCUAUAGUUGCAAAGGGGAGGCAAGUCGUAACAUGGUAAGUGUACCGGAAGGUGCGCUUGGAAAAAAU
Molecule: non-coding RNA, 888 nt
Filed under: Erythrocles schlegelii (Japanese rubyfish)
Lineage: Eukaryota; Metazoa; Chordata; Actinopteri; Emmelichthyidae
Description: partial 12S rRNA
Rfam family: Bacterial small subunit ribosomal RNA
Source: RNAcentral